Molecule: ribosomal RNA, 424 nt
Filed under: Verrucomicrobiota bacterium
Lineage: Bacteria; Pseudomonadati; Verrucomicrobiota
Description: Verrucomicrobia bacterium partial 16S ribosomal RNA
Rfam family: Bacterial small subunit ribosomal RNA
Source: RNAcentral
UGAGGAAUAUUGGUCAAUGGGCGUGAGCCUGAACCAGCCAAGUAGCGUGCAGGAAGACGGCCCUAUGGGUUGUAAACUGCUUUUAUGCGGGGAUAAAGGAGUCCACGUGUGGAUUUUUGCAGGUACCGCAUGAAUAAGGACCGGCUAAUUCCGUGCCAGCAGCCGCGGUAAUACGGAAGGUCCGGGCGUUAUCCGGAUUUAUUGGGUUUUAAGGGAGCGUAGGCCGCGUUUUAAGCGUGUUGUGAAAUGUAGACGCCCAACGUCUGCAACGCGGCGCGAACAGGGACGCUUGAGUACGCACAACGUUGGCGGAGUUCGUCGUGUAGCGGUGAAAUGCUUGGAUAUGACGAGGAACUCCGAUUGCGAAGGCGGCUGACGGGGGCGGCAAUGACGCUUAAGCUCGAAGGUGCGGGUAUCAAACAGG